This 1779-nucleotide long non-coding RNA is filed under the name Mus musculus (house mouse). Its description in RNAcentral is "predicted gene, 36199". The record is from RNAcentral. Lineage: Eukaryota; Metazoa; Chordata; Mammalia; Rodentia; Muridae.
UUGUUUUUUUGUUUUGUUGUUUUGUUUUCUGACUGCUUUGUAACGUAGGAAAGAAUGAAAGAACACAGAUAGGUGUAUACGAGGCUGAUCUGGAACUCUAGGCCACCAGAGUCACCUAGGACGGGAACCCAAAGUUUAUAAUAUGGUCCUGGGAAACAUGGUAACAGAGAACCUGGGAGGCAGUGAGUGCUCAGUAAGUACCAGCUUGAUGCCCAGGGGGUAAAGCAUGCCUGGAUUCCCAGCAAUUAGAAAGUAGAGGCAGAAGGAUCAAGAGAUGGCUUAGCAAGCAAAGAAGCUUGCUGUUAAACCUGAGGAUUGGAGUUUAAUCCCUGGACCGGCGGGAUGCACUCGGUGCGAGGAGCCAACUCCUGAGAGUUGUGCUCUGACCGCCAUAGGUACUGUUCGACAAGAACGUACAUUUCUUAAAAGUUACAAAAGUCACUCUCUGCUACGCGAUGAGUUCUCAGGGAUCCCCAGCUCUGCAAGACCCCAUCUCAAAGAAAUCCAAAAGUAAAUGAAUGAUCUAGAGUGAGAGGGGUAUCUGCAGAUUCGACAUAAAUAGACCAAAUACUGUAGACAUCUGUCAAGCCACCACUUGAUAAUGAGGUGGCGAGCCCCACCCUCCUGCCUCACAGAAGAACCACAUUAUUCCUGGUUUUUCGAGACAGGGUUUCUCUGUGUAUAUAAUAUACAUGUAAAGCUAUUAGAAGUGGCAGGGUUAGGAAAGAAAGAGAAUGGGGGGCGGGGGGUGGGGAGAAACGUGUGUAGCCAUGUGAUCUGUGGCUGGUAACGGGACUGUGUGCUCUGACUGCUUGGUGGCAGUUCUAAUAGAUCGCUAGACUCUAUCAAGCAGAAAUGUUUAUUAACUACAUCUCUCCCUCGACUGGGGGAUGGCACUAAUGGAUGUUUGAAAAUGAUGACCCUGAUAUGCUGAGAACCCUGAACAUCUUUUUGAAACAGGAGAGGGGGGAAAAAAGAUUAAAGGAAGAGCCGGCUAGUCCAUGACAGGUGCAUUUUACUGUAUUCUAAUGUUUUUUUGAAAACAAGCAAUAUUUUUGCCCUGUGUAGUAUGACAGUUUAUAUACUGCCUAAAUAACUUCCUGCCCAUCAGAACAUCAAGACAAUACAUUGUCCAAUUAUGGAAGGGAUGAAGGCUUAAUAAAUAUUCCUCUCUGCACCGGGGAUGUAUGUAGCUCAGUAGGCAGAAUGCUUGCCUUAGUAAGAAUGAAGCCCUUAGUUGGAUGCAUGCUCUCUCUAUGUCAGGCAUGGCGUGCCACCAGGCUAGCUGUACUUUUAAUUACACUGGGAGGUGGAGGCAGGAGGAUCAGAUAAUCUGUGACUUCACAGUUUGAGGGUUGCCUGGGCUACAUGUGGCCCUAUCUCAGAGAAAUCAUUCCUUUUUUUUUUUUUUUUUUCUCGAGACAGGGUUUCUCUGUAUAGCCCUGGCUGUCCUGGAGCUCACUUUGUAGACCAGGCUAGCCUCGAAUUCAGAAAUCCGCCUGCCUCUGCCUCCCGAGUGCUGGGAUUAAAGGUGUGCGCCACCACGCCCGGCGAAGUCAUUCCUUUUUUUUUUGUCGAGAUGCACAUUUAGAAGAUGAUACUGGGAGUUCAAAACUACUCUAAGCCAUCAUGAGUCUAAAGCCAGAAAGAGGCUGCCUGAGACCUGCUACCUGGUGUCAUCUUCUUACUUCCUACAAUUUAUUAUUAGCGCAAUUUUUGUUUGAUUUGGAGUUUUGAGACUGGAUCUUAAGUAUGUAGCCCCAGGUGACCUUGAGUUUG